RNAcentral lists this long non-coding RNA (1177 nucleotides) under Equus caballus (horse). RNAcentral's name for it is "lncRNA (ENSECAG00000055260.1)". Lineage: Eukaryota; Metazoa; Chordata; Mammalia; Perissodactyla; Equidae. The record is from RNAcentral.
AGCUUAAGUGACCUGACCUGGAUGAGUUCCAGAGUAUUGAAAGCACUUGCAAAUGAAAUUGUUGAACCUCUUUGAUCUUCUUAAGGAACUGUGAAGAUUGUGUUGGAGGAAUAUUAGGGGUGGCUUUGGGAAGACAUGAGGUGAGCAAAUAUGAUCCCAAUUUUCAAGAAGUCAAAAAGAAAAAAAACAGAAGGCGCUCUAAUCUGUAGUUCUGGCAACUUGGCCUUAAGCCCAGGUUUAUCUGCAAGGAGCCUAGCUGUUCAUAACCAAUCCUGUCCAUUAGGCUGUUUUUCUAAAACAGAAGAGCAGUUCUCUCCCUUCCAGUCAACUUUGUGGCUUACUAGAAUAAACAUCACAUUUCCUGGCUCCCUUGCACCUAGAUUUGGCCAUAUGACUACGUUCUGGCCAGAGGAAUAUAAACAGAUGUAUCUCAUGGUGGCUUCCAGGAAACUUUCAAGGAAAAUGACAGGACGUAUGAGCCCUUUACCCUCUUCUUUGUCCUAUCUUCCUUCUUGCUGGUUAGAUUAUGGACAUGGCUGGACAUGGAAUCAUCAUUGGGGACCAGGAGAAAACCAUCCCUUGGAAAUGGAGGCCAUGACUUCCAAAACAAGAUAGAAGGAGCCUGAAUCUCUGAGACCUUUAUGGAGCAGAGCCACAAAACUAGCCCUGGGCUGCUCACUUUUGGACUUCUACGUAUAAGAAACAAACUUCUUUUAAAAGCUGCUGUUUCCUCCCCACCCGACCCCCUUUCACAACUCACCACAAUCCUAACUGAUAUAUUCCUUUAGCUACAAUCCCACCACAAAUUGAAAAAUUCCUUUAGUGUUUGCUAGUUGAAAUUUCCAAGAGGAAGAUAGAUCUGUCUCGCCCCAUCUUUUAAUACCUGCAGCAGAGAUGGCUGGCUUCCACUAGAGAUUUUGUUUUCUUUCUUUUGUGUGGAAUUGUGGUUGGAAAGUAGCUUCACAGUCUGGGACUACAAUUUCUAGUCUUCCUUGCAUAUAGGUGAAACUGUGUGUGUCACUUAUGAACCAAAGCUCCCAAAGAGCCCUGUUUUCACUUCUCCGUCCUUUCUUUCCCUGUUAGCCAGUUGGAAGAGAUCUCUGAGGCCAUAGGGGAUGGUAGAGUAAUUAUAUGGAAGGAGACUGGGAUCCUGAGUUACCACGUAGAAAGCUGCCUG